Molecule: long non-coding RNA, 307 nt
Filed under: Homo sapiens (human)
Lineage: Eukaryota; Metazoa; Chordata; Mammalia; Primates; Hominidae
Description: HSALNT0006850
Source: RNAcentral
GAAGGGCCUGUCCCAGUCGGCUUUACCCUAUCGACGCAGCUUCCCCACUUGGUUGAAGUUGACAUCUGACGACGUGAAGGAGCAGAUUUACAAACUGGCCAAGAAGGGCCUUACUCCUUCACAGAUCGGAUAAGGAUGCUAAAUUCCAUCUGAUUCUGAUAGAGAGCCAGAUUCACCGUUUGGCUCAAUAUUAUAAGACCAAGCGAGUCCUCCCUCCCAGUUGGAAAUAUGAAUCAUCUACAGCCUCUGCCCUGGUCGCAUAAAUUUGUCUGUGUACUCAAGCAAUAAAAUGAUUGUUUAACUAAAA